This 496-nucleotide ribosomal RNA is filed under the name uncultured bacterium. RNAcentral's name for it is "bacterial SSU rRNA". It matches the Rfam family "Bacterial small subunit ribosomal RNA", at positions 1 to 518 of the family's 1533-position model. The record is from RNAcentral.
GAAUUCGAUCGUCGUCAGAACGAACGCUGGUGGCGUGUCUUAUACAUGCAAGUCGAGCGAGGCAGCAAUGCCGAGCGGCGAACGGGUGAGUAGCGCGUAAGCAAUCUGCCCCAUAUCAGGAAAUACCCGUGCCAACGCGCGGUUAAUGUCCAGGAGAGUGGCCAGCUGCAUGGCUGGUUGACUAGAGAUUUAUCGGUAUGGGAUGAGCUUGCGUCCGAUUAGCUAGUUGGCGGGCAACGGCCCACCAAGGCGACGAUCGGUAGCCGGCCUGAGAGGGUGAUCGGCCACAUUGGGACUGAGAUACGGCCCAGACUCCUACGGGAGGCAGCAGUAGGGAAUAUUGCACAAUGGGGGAAACCCUGAUGCAGCAACGCCAACGUGUGGGAAGAAGCAUUUCGGUGUGUAAACCACUGUCAUGAGGGAAUAAGGCCCGCCUUCGGACGGGAUUGAAUGUACCUUGAGAGGAAGCACCGGCAAACUUCGUGCCAGCCGCCGC